UCCUGUUCCUUAUUCAUAUUACCUACAUAAUCGCUUGUCUCUCUGAAUAUAUAUAUUAUGCUUAUUUUAAAAUCUUGAUCUGUCUGUUACGAUAGAUCUGCUUCAUGUAGUGUAAGUUGCUCAGCCUGUUAUCUUUCUAGUGGUUGACUUCUUAUGGUCCUCAGUCUUUGGGCUAUAAACUCUGGUUCCUUUAGGGGCAACAGCUACUGUACCUGGUUGUCAAUACUAACAAAGGAACUCAAAUCCCACUCCUAAAGAGGGACAGGGUAAGCUCCAAGACAUGGUGCUUCAGGUCUCACACAAUGAUAGCCCAUCACCCCAAUUUUUUGUCCUUCUAUCAGGCCACAGCUUUAGUCGGGAUCCUCCUUUAAAUGCUCUGAAAAAAACAACUUAGGGAGGAAAUAAUCUCUAUAGAUAAGUUUUUCAAUCUCUAGUGGCAACCCAUUAAUGGGUCACACAGUCAAUUUAGUGAGUCAGCCAGCAUUAAAGAGAGAAUAGCAUAGCAUAGCACAGCACAGCACAGCACAGCAUAGCAUAGCAUAGCAUAGCAUAGGUUGAAGUAGAUAGAGGGCAUCCCACCAGUAAGCACACUGUUUUAUGAAACUUUCAUGUAUAUGUACUGAGUCAUCACAUAAAAUGUACUCCUUAUUGCAAGUGAUAGUCAAAAUCAAUUUGAAGAACAGUUUUUGACUGUGAUCCACCAAUGCAGAGGGUCUGUGGAUGAGUGGGUGUAGAGGAGGUAGAGGGGUGAAUGCUCUGGGCCAGUCAGCUAGUCAAUUGAUUCUGCUUAUCAGUUCUUUACCCAGCAGGGCUUGAGCGUUGCUCUGCUCUCCCGCACCUCACACCUAUCAUCUGCUGAUGCUGCUAACUCCUUUUCCAACAUGGGACAGGUAAUUAUCCCUCAGAGGUUACGUGGGCAAGUGCAGAACUAAGAGCUUUCCCUCAACCUGUACUCCAUCCAUGCACCUGGUACCCCCUGCGCCGGGUUGGUUCCACCAUGUAUUUAGUCAACCAAAGGGUUCCCCACAGUUUCUAUUUGAGUCCUCCAGAUCCAGUCUUCCUUCUCGUUUUUGCUGUUCUUCCAGGUUGAUUGUGUGGGAGGGAGCCGGAAGCCCAGGCUUGCUUUCAUCUUUCAGAAGCAGAAGCCUUACCUGCAGUCCAGUUUGGAGCUGUGGUGGUCCUGUGCUGAGCUCCUUAGGGUCCCAUAUCCCUAGGGUCCCAUGCUUCCGGCAGCCUUCAGCUCUCUCCGCCCCACUCAGCCCUUCCCUCAGCACAUCUUCGUGCUGGGUUUCUCUCCUUUUCUCCAUGCACUGUUUUGACUUCUGCCUUUGUCCGUGACUAUUAGAAACCUCAGGCCCCAGCCAGCAGGAAAAUUUAUAGCUAAACAAUUACAUUGUUGAAACCCUGACAAGUCCACUCUGGUUAAUGGCUCUGAAAAUAUAGGAGAGGUGUGAACAACUAAAUCUAUUAGGCUCCAUAUCGUGGGCCUGCAAAGACAGACUUGUAGAACCCGGUAUUUGAUGGACAUUUCUCGUUCUUUUUCUCCUGUGUUGUUCUAAAUGCUACUCUCGCUCAACAUGGAUUCAUUACCUGGAGAAUGGCUUGGAUAUUUGGAUAAUCGUCUUCUAAAUAGUUUCUUUUUUCCCCUUUCCUCUUAUGAUAUUUUGGAACUCAACCAACAAUAAUGCAACAGGCAGGCAACCGCCCCCUUGUGCUCCUGCCUUUUUUCAUGAGAAGAAAACACCUGAUCCAAGUGCUCAUCCAGAGACGACGAGAGACAUGUGGAGGAGCUCUAAACCCAACCCACAGGUUGGA
This 1815-nucleotide long non-coding RNA is filed under the name Homo sapiens (human). RNAcentral describes it as "HSALNT0147006". Lineage: Eukaryota; Metazoa; Chordata; Mammalia; Primates; Hominidae. The record is from RNAcentral.